GAUGAACGCUGGCGGCGUGCCUAAUACAUGCAAGUCGAGCGAACAGACGAGGAGCUUGCUCCUCUGACGUUAGCGGCGGACGUGUGAGUAACACGUGGAUAACCUACCUAUAAGACUGGGAUAACUUCGGGAAACCGGAGCUAAUACCGGAUAAUAUAUUGAACCGCAUGGUUCAAUAGUGAAAGACGGUUUUGCUGUCACUUAUAGAUGGAUCCGCGCCGCAUUAGCUAGUUGGUAAGGUAACGGCUUACCAAGGCAACGAUGCGUAGCCGACCUGAGAGGGUGAUCGGCCACACUGGAAAUGAGACACGGUCCAGACUCCUACGGGAGGCAGCAGUAGGGAAUCUUCCGCAAUGGGCGAAAGCCUGACGGAGCAACGCCGCGUGAGUGAUGAAGGUCUUCGGAUCGGAAAACUCUGUUAUUAGGGAAGAACAAAUGUGUAAGUAACUAUGCACGUCUUGACGGUACCUAAUCAGAAAGCCACGGCUAACUACGUG
Molecule: ribosomal RNA, 497 nt
Filed under: uncultured bacterium
Lineage: Bacteria
Description: partial 16S ribosomal RNA
Rfam family: Bacterial small subunit ribosomal RNA
Source: RNAcentral